CCUACGGGAGGCAGCAGUGGGGAAUCUUGCGCAAUGGGGGAAACCCUGACGCAGCGACGCCGCGUGCGGGAUGAAGGCCUUCGGGUUGUAAACCGCUUUCAGCAGGGACGAAAUUGACGGUACCUGCAGAAGAAGGCCCGGCCAACUACGUGCCAGCAGCCGCGGUAAUACGUAGGGGCCAAGCGUUGUCCGGAUUUAUUGGGCGUAAAGAGCUCGUAGGCGGCUCGGCAAGUCAGGUGUGAAAUCUCUACGCUCAACGUGGAGGCGCCACCUGGUACUGCCGUGGCUAGAGUCCGGUAGGGGAGUGUGGAAUUCCCGGUGUAGUGGUGAAAUGCGCAGAUAUCGGGAGGAACACCAGUGGCGAAGGCGGCACUCUGGGCCGGUACUGACGCUGAGGAGCGAAAGCGUGGGGAGCGAACAGGAUUAGAUACCCUAGUAGU
This 440-nucleotide ribosomal RNA is filed under the name uncultured bacterium. RNAcentral's name for it is "bacterial SSU rRNA". It matches the Rfam family "Bacterial small subunit ribosomal RNA", at positions 338 to 794 of the family's 1533-position model. The record is from RNAcentral.